UAGACCAGUGAUGACCACUGGUGGCCUGUGCGUCAUAGAUGAUGAAUAUGUGUCUGGACUUCUGAGGUCCAA
Hippopotamus amphibius kiboko is the source of this 72-nucleotide small nucleolar RNA. RefSeq annotates it as small nucleolar RNA SNORD113/SNORD114 family. NCBI's taxonomy places the organism in Eukaryota, Metazoa, Chordata, Mammalia, Artiodactyla, Hippopotamidae. The record is from RefSeq and is a predicted model, not a curated record. The transcript has a single exon.